AGUGAACGCUGGCGGUAGGCCUAACACAUGCAAGUCGAACGGCAGCACAGUAAGAGCUUGCUCUUACGGGUGGCGAGUGGCGGACGGGUGAGGAAUACAUCGGAAUCUACUUUUUCGUGGGGGAUAACGUAGGGAAACGUACGCUAAUACCGCAUACGACCUACGGGUGAAAGCAGGGGAUCUUCGGACCUUGCGCGAUUGAAUGAGCCGAUGUCGGAUUAGCUAGUUGGCGGGGGAAAGGCCCACCAAGGCGACGAUCCGUAGCUGGUCUGAGAGGAUGAUCGGCCCCACUGGAACUGGGACACGGUCCAGACUCCUACGGGAGGCAGCAGUGGGGAAUAUUGGACAAUGGGCGCAAGCCUGAUCCAGCCAUACCGCGUGGGUGAAGAAGGCCUUCGGGUUGUAAAGCCCUUUUGUUGGGAAAGAAAAGCAGCAGGUUAAUACCCCGCUGUUCUGACGGUACCCAAAGAAUAAGCACCGGCUAACUUCGUG
This 492-nucleotide ribosomal RNA is filed under the name uncultured bacterium. RNAcentral's name for it is "partial 16S ribosomal RNA". It matches the Rfam family "Bacterial small subunit ribosomal RNA", at positions 29 to 507 of the family's 1533-position model. The record is from RNAcentral.